UUUCUUUUGUAGUUCAUAAGUGUGAUGAUUGGGUCUUCAUACCAUCAUGUGACAUGUGCCUCCCUCAAACCUUGUUAAGACCCUGGCACAUUACCUGUCUGAUG
Small nucleolar RNA from Hyaena hyaena (striped hyena), 104 nucleotides. RefSeq annotates it as small nucleolar RNA U13. The transcript has a single exon. The record is from RefSeq and is a predicted model, not a curated record. Lineage: Eukaryota; Metazoa; Chordata; Mammalia; Carnivora; Hyaenidae.